Molecule: RNA transcript, 1035 nt
Organism: Camelina sativa (false flax)
Lineage: Eukaryota; Viridiplantae; Streptophyta; Magnoliopsida; Brassicales; Brassicaceae
Gene name: heat shock 70 kDa protein 7, chloroplastic-like
Source: RefSeq, a predicted model, not a curated record
GAAGACGCUAUGAGUACUCUAAACCUUUAACAAUGGUGGUGCGUCGUGAGCUCGGUCCGAUAGAACGUGACGAUGAGGUGUUUGUUGAGGUUUCCAAGUUUCAUUAGGUCGAUUGCAACAUAGGAGUUGAUUUUGCUUCGAUUCAAGCUAAAAUAUUUCAUCUGACCAUAAGCUGGACUUUAAUGCCUACAAGGUGUUCGACAAAAUGCUUCUGGGGAGAAGAAGGAAGCAACAACGUAAGCAGAGAAAUCGCCUUAAGGCAUGACCGUUUUAGCUGUUUCUCACGUUGGAUCCAAUUGGACUAAGGAACCGAUUUUUAAGUAUUAGAAGAGACCGAGUGGCUGCGAUUAUAGGACAAUCACUAUCUGAAACUCUGCAACUCACCAUUGAGUUCUUACCCUGUCAGUUUCCUUACGAGUUCUUGAACAGCAGGAAUACGUGUGGAUCCACCAACAAGAAUCACCUCAUCAAUAUCCAAGAGUGCUUCAGGUGCUGCAGUUCAGGCUGGUGUUCUAUCCGGAGAUGUGAGGGACAUUGUUCUUCUUGAUGUGGCGCCACUGUCACUUGGUUUGGAAACUUUUGGUGGUGUCAUGACCAAGAUCAUUCCAAGAAACACCACACUUCCAACUUCUAAAUCAGAAGUCUUCUCAACUGCCGCAGAUGGACAGACAAGUGUUGAUAUUAAUGUGUUACAGGGUGAGAGAGAGAGUUCGUAAGAGAUAACAAGUCUAUUGGCAGCUUCCGUCUUGAUGGUAUCCCGCCUGCACCACGUGGAGUUCCACAAAUCGAGGUCAAAUUUGAUAUUGAUGCCAAUGGAAUUCUAUCUGUCAGUGCUUCCGACAAAGGCACAGGAAAGAAGCAGGACAUCACCAUUACUGGUGCUAGUACCUUGCCAAAGGAUGAGGUAGACACAAUGGUGCAAGAAGCAGAUAGGUUUGCCAAGGAAGACAAAGAAAAGAGAGAUGCGAUCGACACAAAGAACCAGGAAGGAUAAUUUGAUUUGUGGGCAGCAAAUGAAUGCUCUGCACACAUCAG